Molecule: unclassified non-coding RNA, 247 nt
Filed under: Hevea brasiliensis (rubber tree)
Lineage: Eukaryota; Viridiplantae; Streptophyta; Magnoliopsida; Malpighiales; Euphorbiaceae
Source: RNAcentral
AAAAAAAAGAUAUGUGAUAUCUGGGGCUAUCAGCUAGAGCUGAUAGAGCAAAAACAGACAAUGGAAUCAUUGAAAGCAAAGAAUGUCAAAGCAUAACACAUCAACUACACUACAAGUAUGGAGGCGAAUGGAGGUACUUGGAGUGAUAGCUAUGGUGGUGGGAGACGUCAACACUCCCAUGGCUAUGCUGGAGGGACCUGAACAAUUCAAGGAAAGUUAGUUCUCAUCUGGCCAGCAUGUAGGUUGG